RNAcentral lists this ribosomal RNA (378 nucleotides) under uncultured bacterium. RNAcentral describes it as "bacterial SSU rRNA". It matches the Rfam family "Bacterial small subunit ribosomal RNA", at positions 337 to 733 of the family's 1533-position model. The record is from RNAcentral.
UCCUACGGGGGGCAGCAGUGGGGAAUAUUGCACAAUGGGGGAAACCCUGAUGCAGCGACGCCGCGUGAGCGAUGAAGGCCUUCGGGUCGUAAAGCUCUGUCCUAAGGGAAGAUAAUGACGGUACCUUAGGAGGAAGCCCCGGCUAACUACGUGCCAGCAGCCGCGGUAAUACGUAGGGGGCGAGCGUUGUCCGGAAUUACUGGGCGUAAAGGGUGCGUAGGCGGCCUUGUAAGUCAGAUGUUAAAGCCCUCGGCUUAACCGAGGUAAGCAUUUGAAACUGCAGGGCUUGAGUACAGGAGAGGAGAGUGGAAUUCCUAGUGUAGCGGUGAAAUGCGUAGAUAUUAGGAAGACCACCAGUGGCGAAGGCGACUCUCUGGA